UACGUAGGGUGCGAGCGUUAAUCGGAAUUACUGGGCGUAAAGCGUGCGCAGGCGGUGAUGUAAGACCGGUGUGAAAUCCCCGGGCUUAACUUGGGAAUUGCGCUCGAAACUACUUGGCUCGAGUGUGGCAGAGGAAGGUGGAAUUCCAGGUGUAGCGGUGAAAUGCGUAGAGAUCUGGAGGAACACCGAUGGCGAAGGCAGCCUUCUGGGCCAACACUGACGCUCAUGCACGAAAGCGUGGGGAGCAAACAGG
RNAcentral lists this ribosomal RNA (253 nucleotides) under uncultured bacterium. RNAcentral's name for it is "partial 16S ribosomal RNA". It matches the Rfam family "Bacterial small subunit ribosomal RNA", at positions 524 to 776 of the family's 1533-position model. The record is from RNAcentral.